AGAGCAGGCCGGAUGGCCGCUGCUUUGCUUUAAAAGCAAAGGGGAGGAAAGUCCGGGCUCCACAGGACAGGAUGCUGGAUAACGUCCAGUCCCGGUGACGGGAAGGAAAGUGCAACAGAAAGUAUACCGCCUCUCUUCCGGCAUUGGCCGGAGGUUAUGGUAAGGGUGAAAUGGUGAGGUAAGAGCUCACCGUCCUGGCGGUGACGUCAGGAGCUUGGCAAACCCCAUCCGGAGCAAGACCAAAUAAGGAGGAGCAUGAGGGUGGUCCGCCCGAUUCUCCGGGUAGGUCGCUUGACCCUGAUGGCAACAUCAGGGCUAGAUGAAUGGUCAUCGUUCAGGGAUAUUUCCCUGAAAACAGAACCCGGCUUAUGGCCUGCUCUUUUU
This 384-nucleotide RNase P RNA is filed under the name Desulfatiglans sp. Its description in RNAcentral is "RNase P RNA component class A". It matches the Rfam family "Bacterial RNase P class A". Rfam says of the family: Ribonuclease P (RNase P) is a ubiquitous endoribonuclease, found in archaea, bacteria and eukarya as well as chloroplasts and mitochondria. Its best characterised activity is the generation of mature 5'-ends of tRNAs by cleaving the 5'-leader elements of precursor-tRNAs. The record is from RNAcentral. Lineage: Bacteria; Pseudomonadati; Thermodesulfobacteriota; Desulfobacteria; Desulfatiglandales; Desulfatiglandaceae.